This is a long non-coding RNA of Penaeus vannamei (Pacific white shrimp), 3029 nucleotides long. RefSeq lists it as uncharacterized. Lineage: Eukaryota; Metazoa; Arthropoda; Malacostraca; Decapoda; Penaeidae. The record is from RefSeq and is a predicted model, not a curated record.
AUGUCAACAAGUGUACUUUCCUUUAGACACCAAAGGAAACCCUAAAGAUGCACUCAGCAGGGAAAUCCAGUAUAGAGGAGCAGUUAGCACAGAAUAGACUCAGGAAAAAGAAGGAAGAGACACAAAAGCGUUAAAAAGCGGUUCUGGGAGUUGAUAUGGUCAGCGAUGUCUGUUAUGAGUAGUAGUAGCACUGCUUCCGAGUCUGAGAGCAGUCCGAGUGCGGAUGAUCAACCAAAAGAGCAUUCUGAUGUGAAGAUGAAUGUGAAGUUGAGGUGUUUAAGCUGCUGGUUCUUAGAAUCAUCUGAUGGCCUGUUACACCGAACCCAAGUGAUCUUGUGAUAUGUGAGGCUCAGGCAGCAGCGUAGAUCAGUGAUGCAGACAGUGUAGGAAACCCUUCACUCCUGUCCUUUAGUUCCUACACAAAGCUGGACUGGAUUGCUUUAGGGCUGAAAUGUGCCUUCAGUGCCUUUGCUUUUAUAUGGUAGGUUUUAUAAAGGUAAUUAUCUGUUUUAUAUGGUACUGUAUGGAGAACAUGGAGUGGUAAAUAUCCACUGGUAAUGAAGUGAAGUCUGUUGAUUUUUUCAUUUGGGGUUCUUCGGGUAAGCAGGGUGGCAUUUGGUCAAUGGAAAUUUAGUGUUAUGUUAUUUAUGAGAGCAAGGUAGCUACCUACCAUGUGUAAAGGUCAGGUCAAAUUAUUUACGUGCACUUGUUAAGGACAAGAUGUUAAGCUUACCUUUACACCAAAGAGAAAGUAUUUUAUGGGAUUGGAUAUUUUAUAUCCUUUAUUUUACAUUAAUUUUGCCUGUAACUUUCAAGUAUGAAUACUUAGUGCUAACUGGAAAAUAGUUCAGCAUACUUGGAUAAAAAAUUUGAAGCUGCAAAGAAUUUUUUUCUGUUUGAGGAAUCUUGCUAGUUGAAACUAUCAAGUAUUGGGUAUUUAGCUUCACUGCAUGCCAUAAGAAACCUAAUAAUAAUGAUAUUAUUAAGAAAGGUUACUGGAUUUUAGUUUAGAACAACAUAUUUAGCCAUUGAAAGUUUACCACAAUACAACUCCUUUUUUUUUAUAAUACUGUACAAAGAUAAGGCAUGUCCAGAAAAUGAAGAAAAAAGAAUGAUUAGUGAUUGUUUAUUGUAUGCAGUAUUUGCAGUCUUCUUAAUUACUUGAAAAUUACUUAUUUCCAGCUUUUGUCAGUAUGUACAGGCUAACAUUGUUUGUAUGGAGGAAUGGUUACUUUCUUCCUUCUAAAACACUGAGACAUUUUACCUUUUUCCAUCAAGCCUUUUUGAAUACCAUUAAUGAUUUUUAAUUCACUACUCACAAGAUUUAUUUACUUAUUGAAAAAUUUCUGCAGCAUCAACCUCUAAGGUCAUUAGUGGAGUAUACAAAAUAAAGCAAUAGGGCGAGGCUUGGGGGCAAAGCCUACAGGUAAGGAAAGGUCACACAGCAUCAUGACAAAGUAUUGUGGCAAAAAUAUCAAAAAUUAGUUGACAAUUAGCAUAUGUUACUUGACAUAUGUCAACUAUAUUGCUGGAAGUGAAAUAUAUUUAUCCAUCUUCACAGCUCUUUUGAUUUCCACUACACAAGUUUUGGGAUGAUAAAACUUGGAUAGUUUGUAGUAUAGUUUUCAGAUACUGGAAGAGCUUAUGAUCUCCAUGCCAGGAAAUGUACGGCCAAUGUUAUGUUGGUAGUAAAAUAUAUCACUUUCCGUCCUUGGAUCAUCACUUUUUAUAUUUUAGUCAAUGAUCUCAUUAAUAUUUUUUUGCUUUACUUUUACUUUUCAUCUUAUUGUCAUUUUACUGUUAGGUUUAUUACAUCACAACCUUUUUUGUUGUGCUGUUUAUGAUAGGGCAACAACUGUUUUCCAUGUUGUUACUAAGGAAGUUUUAAUUUAGUUUGUAUCUUUUGGGUUUACUGCAUGGAUUCUGAAACACAAUUUCACUACAUUAUUAUUUACCGUUCUUUAGGCUUUCAUUAUAUUUUUAGACAAGUAUUGUGCUAUGUAUAUUUGAUUUUGCUAAGCAGUAUAAUCUUUCCAGUGAAAAUAUGUAGAUUUACUAUUAAAUAAUAUUGUUACCUUCCAGUAUUUCUUGAUGUGAUACAACUCAUUUAUAUUUUAAACUCCGUUAUAUAAAAAGCAAAGGUUUGUGAUUGGGGUGACAUGGAUCCAUAAUUUAGAAAUAAAAAGUUAUGAAGAAAGCCAAUAAUCAAAACACUUUAUUUUUCAAAAAAAUGUACACUGUACAAUGGAAUAAACCAGUACUGACUGAGUAAAGAGCCGAAGCUUUGAGCAAAAAACAACAUGAACCAUGAGAUCCUGAAGUAAGGGCCAAAAAAGGAAAUCCAUUUGGCAAGUAUAGUAACUACAAAUUCCAUUGGUAAACAAAACCUAAUAAAACCAGGGAAUUAACAAUUACUCACACUAUUGUCAUACCAUGGAAAAAAAGAAAAGAUAUAACAUGCAAUCAAUAGUAGUAAUUUUUUCCAAAAAAAUAAAAAUAAAUAAAAGGCAAAGUGGCUAAACCGUAUGACUAAUUCACACUGACUUUCAUUUUUAUUUCAUUAUACAAAGCUGGUGUGCAAAAAAUACAAAGGAGCCCCAUUCUGUAAUCUGAAAGUCACUAGUCUGGAUGGUGGAAGAUACAAUUUUCAGAACAAUAGUUCCUGGUGACUUUUGUUUCAAUUGACUAUUUUUCUUUUAAUUAAAGCUGCAGUAGCUAUAAGCAGAAUUAUUCAUGAAUACUUAAUGAUACUAAUAAUGCCUUCAAAGCAAAUUGUAACUACUGGUGAUUUUCAGUCUACAUAGGAGUCUCCCUUGGCAGAUAAUGGAACAUCUUCAGCCAAUGAAGUUCAGAACCACAGGAAUUUAAGAAAAAUCUACUUCAACUUUAUUACACAACCAGAACAGGUACUACUGAUUCCAUAUAGUAUGCUUAACAAGGUCAUUUUCAUAUGGGUAAAAAAAUCAUAUCAGAGAAGACAACAAAACUUGAAAGAAAAAAAAAAAAAAAAAAAAAAAAAAAAAACAUUU